AUCACAGUGUCACCCAUUCUAUUCGGAAAGGUGGUACAAAAGGCGGCUAUGCUCUGUGUAAGGACUGUUAGAUACAUGUGUCUGUUUUUUCCCGUCACUAGAAGCCUGAGGGGAAGGUGGAGCCACAUGCUCAUCCCAAGAACUAUCUGCGAUGAGACGGUUUCCCCAGGACAAGUGAGAACUCAGAGAUAAAACAGCUUGAAGAAUGAAUUAAUGGGAAAGCCUGAGAGAGGAAGUCUAUAGACAAAGGGGGCAUUUUUUUUUGUUUUGUUUUUAAAAGACAAGAAAAUGCUAUAAAGAAUCCUGUAAAACAUCAAUCAAGAUAAAGUAUUCCUACCGAGCCAGUGGUCAGGAUAAUUGAGACAGCAGAGGCCAGUGUGGCGUUUAUGGCUCGGCCCUGGAAGUGAUGCAAUUCUCAUCCACCUUCCAGUGUCUGGAACUGAGCCAUGUGGUCACUUCUACCUGCAAGGGAAACUAGAAAGAGUCUGCUUGUGGCCCCAGAAGGAAAACAAACAAACAAAUAAGCAUUCUCAAGCAUUCGAUGAUUCUUUGCAAGUUUCCCCUUAACAGCUGAAGUGGCUUCCAGAGGCUGUUACAAGACUGUGAGACCUAAUACACGCCAGCAAAUGUCAGUUUGCACCAAACAGUGAGAGACGCCCUCCCGAAAGGCUCCCUGAAGGGAGGGUCAAGACCAGGAAGGACACAGCUCUCACAGACCCUGAAGGUCCCUUUGACCUCGCUGCCCCUCAUCUCCUGCUGUAAUUAGAAGCAGGCCACACUGAGACUCCAGAUGGCCCCGUCUCAGGAUUUUUGGAGACUGUAAUAUCAGCAGGAUUUCUUUUUUAACUUGGAAAACAAAUUGGUCUGAUGCCUUUAUAUUGAAUUGCUUGUUGUCUGCCUCUGACUAAAAGUCCCCUGAGGCCAUUUUAAAAAGGCAGCCCUAGAACUGCCGUGUCUGGUCCUUGAGCCAAUACAGCUCCUGAAGCCAGGUUGGCAUCUUCUGGGCAGAGAUUUGCUGGGGCAGCACAUUUAGAGGAGAAUGUACAGCUUUUGCUCCUUAGUAGUAAAUGGGAACUCACUGGAAGGCAGUGGUGAAUUGUGGGGACUCACUGGAAGGCAGUGGUGAAUUGUGGGGACUCACUGGAAGGCAGUGGUGAAUUGUGGGGACUCACUGGAAGGCAGUGGUGAAUUGUGGGAACUCACUGGAAGGCAGUGGUGAAUUGUGGGGACUCACUGGAAGGCAGUGGUGAAUUGUUGGGCCCCGUUAGCGGUCUCUGUAGGUGGACAGAGGGUUUCUUUGCUUGCCCAUUUCACAUCAACUUUGACUGUAGUUUGAGUCUUCCCUCUUAGAAAUUGAGUAAACAUGAAUUUCAUUCCCAGCACAACUAGCUCUCUUAUUUCCCUGUCUUGGGACCUUCCAUGGGCAUUUUGGAACAUAUGGGCAGGGGAAACUAAGGUAAUCUUAGGAUAGCCACAGUUCUAAAAGAAUUUUGACACAGCAAAUGUAGAAACAAUUUGUUUGCUCACUUAAGUAGAACAAAUAUCAAUAUUUUCUGGAAAUAUUUUCUAAGAUUAGUAAGUAUUAGAUGGACCUUGAUAAUUUAGUUUUAUUAAUGUUAUUUCAAGUAAUUAUUGAAUGCCUGGCUAGUGUCUUCAGGGAAGAAUGGUUGGCCCAAUUAAUUCUUUGAAUUUUUUUUAACCUUCCUAUUUCUAGAGAUGGUGGUUUAAUUAAAGGCUAAUGGCAUCAUAUUUUUUGUUAAUAGAGAAAAGUGUUUGAUUCCACUACUUGGUGUGUUAGAUUAAGGAAACAAACUCAUCAA
Molecule: long non-coding RNA, 1820 nt
Organism: Peromyscus maniculatus bairdii (prairie deer mouse)
Lineage: Eukaryota; Metazoa; Chordata; Mammalia; Rodentia; Cricetidae
Source: RefSeq, a predicted model, not a curated record